GAUGAACGCUGGCGGCGUGCCUAAUACAUGCAAGUCGAACGAAACUUCUUUAUCACCGAGUGCUUGCACUCACCGAUAAAGAGUUGAGUGGCGAACGGUUGAGUAACACGUGGGCAACCUGCCCAAAAGAGGGGGAUAACACUGGGAAACAGGUGCUAAUACCGCAUAACCAUGGUUACCGCAUGGUAUCUAUGUAGAAGGUGGCUAUACUACCGCUGUUGGAGGGGCCCGGGGCGCAUAAGCUAGUGGGUAGGGUAAAGGCUGACCAAGUCAAUGAUGCGUAACCGAAGUGAUGGGGGGAUCGGCCACAUUGGGACUGAGACACGGCCCUAACUCCUACGGAAGGCAGCAGUAGGGACUCUACCACAAUGGGCGAAAGCCUGAUGGAGCGACGCCGGGUGGGUGAAGAAGGUCCUCGGAUCGUAAAACCCUGUUGUUAGAGAAGAAAGUGCGUGAGAGUAACUGUUCACGUUUCGACGGUACCUAACCAGAAAGCCACGGCUAACUACGUG
Molecule: ribosomal RNA, 512 nt
Filed under: uncultured bacterium
Lineage: Bacteria
Description: partial 16S ribosomal RNA
Rfam family: Bacterial small subunit ribosomal RNA
Source: RNAcentral